Molecule: ribosomal RNA, 497 nt
Filed under: uncultured bacterium
Lineage: Bacteria
Description: partial 16S ribosomal RNA
Rfam family: Bacterial small subunit ribosomal RNA
Source: RNAcentral
GAUGAACGCUGGCGGCGUGCCUAAUACAUGCAAGUCGAGCGAACAGAUGAGGAGCUUGCUCCUCUGACGUUAGCGGCGGACGGGUGAGUAACACGUGGAUAACCUACCUAUAAGACUGGGAUAACUUCGGGAAACCGGAGCUAAUACCGGAUAAUAUAUUGAACCGCAUGGUUCAAUAGUGAAAGACGGUUUUGCUGUCACUUAUAGAUGGAUCCGCGCCGCAUUAGCUAGUUGGUAAGGUAACGGCUUACCAAGGCGACGAUGCGUAGCCGACCUGAGAGGGUGAUCGGCCACACUGGAACGGAGACACGGUCCGGACUGCUACGGGAGGCAGCAGUAGGGAAUCUUCAGCAAUGGGCGAGAGCCUGACGGAGCAACGCCGCGUGAGUGAUGAAGGUCUUCGGAUCGUAAAACUCUGUUAUUAGGGAAGAACAAAUGUGUAAGUAACUAUGCACGUCUUGACGGUACCUAAUCAGAAAGCCACGGCUAACUACGUG